UACGGAGGGUGCAAGCGUUAUCCGGAUUUAUUGGGUUUAAAGGGUCCGUAGGUGGGUUGGUAAGUCAGUGGUGAAAUCCUGCAGCUUAACUGUAGAAUUGCCAUUGAUACUGCUAGUCUUGAGUGUAUUUGAAGUAGCUGGAAUAAGUAGUGUAGCGGUGAAAUGCAUAGAUAUUACUUAGAACACCAAUUGCGAAGGCAGGUUACUAAGAUACAACUGACGCUGAUGGACGAAAGCGUGGGGAGCGAACAGG
This 253-nucleotide ribosomal RNA is filed under the name uncultured organism. RNAcentral describes it as "partial 16S ribosomal RNA". It matches the Rfam family "Bacterial small subunit ribosomal RNA", at positions 524 to 776 of the family's 1533-position model. The record is from RNAcentral.